Molecule: long non-coding RNA, 530 nt
Organism: Prionailurus viverrinus (fishing cat)
Lineage: Eukaryota; Metazoa; Chordata; Mammalia; Carnivora; Felidae
Exons: 3
Source: RefSeq, a predicted model, not a curated record
GUCUUCACACAUACCACCCAUUCCCCUCCUUGCCGAGUGGCUUGUUUUGUGCGACGCUGCGUAGCUGCUCGUUUCCGCCCACGGCGCGGACUUCUUUAGGUAGAGGGACUUUUGGCCGCCUCGCCGGGCCCAGGCGACAGAGGAAAGAGCCAACGUGCGUGUGCUCCCUAGUGAGACCUCCAGAGGGAAGGGCAGCAGGCCGAGACCCACAAAGAACAGAUUUGUACGUCCCCUCAGAAGAAUAUGCCCACACAAUUGAGCACGAGGUUCUGCAUCAAAUUUCAAGAGGUUCAGCUCAUUCUGCCAUGAAAUGUUUUUGACUAGAGGAAUGUUUUACCCAUUAACCCAAGCCCUUGGAAUACAGUCAAGAAGGAAAGCCCUUCACUUCGUUUUUGCAACGUAAAGAGCUUGUUUUUAGUGGCAUAUUGCCAUCAUUGAAAUCAGUGACUUUAAUAAACAUUUUAAGUUGUUUGUUAUGAUGCCCCACAUCGAAAUCCACAUUCUAAAGCAAGGGUUACUUUGUUUACCAA